AUUGUUUUUUCGUUCAUGUUUUUUGUACAUAAAUAAGGCCGUUAGUUUUCUCGUUUGAAUUGUUUUACAUUGCAUUUCGGGGCCUUUUAUAGCUGACUUUACGAUAUGGGUUUUGCUCAUUGUUGAAGGCCGUACGGUGACCUAUAGUUGUUAAUUUCUGUGUCAUUUUGGUCUCUUGUGGAGAGUUGUCUCAUUGGCAAUCAUACCACACCUUCUUUUUUUUUUAUUAUAAUGAAUUUUUGUAAAAGAUUUAAUUGAUGGAGAAUUUCAGAAAAGGUAUCAAAAGUCAGGUGCUUUGGGACAGGACAAUUGUUUUCCUAGCCCUGGUCCUCCUUUAUUUUUCAAAAAAUCCCAUUUUU
This 359-nucleotide long non-coding RNA is filed under the name Mytilus galloprovincialis (Mediterranean mussel). The record is from RNAcentral. Lineage: Eukaryota; Metazoa; Mollusca; Bivalvia; Mytilida; Mytilidae.